This 440-nucleotide ribosomal RNA is filed under the name bacterium g3(2011). RNAcentral's name for it is "SSU rRNA". It matches the Rfam family "Bacterial small subunit ribosomal RNA", at positions 409 to 859 of the family's 1533-position model. The record is from RNAcentral.
UGAAGGCCUUCGGGUUGUAAACCUCUUUCAGUAGGGAAGAAGCGAAAGUGACGGUACCUGCAGAAGAAGCGCCGGCUAACUACGUGCCAGCAGCCGCGGUAAUACGUAGGGCGCAAGCGUUAUCCGGAAUUAUUGGGCGUAAAGAGCUCGUAGGCGGUUUGUCGCGUCUGCCGUGAAAGUCCGGGGCUUAACCCCGGAUCUGCGGUGGGUACGGGCAGACUAGAGUGAUGUAGGGGAGACUGGAAUUCCUGGUGUAGCGGUGAAAUGCGCAGAUAUCAGGAGGAACACCGAUGGCGAAGGCAGGUCUCUGGGCAUUAACUGACGCUGAGGAGCGAAAGCAUGGGGAGCGAACAGGAUUAGAUACCCUGGUAGUCCAUGCCGUAAACGUUGGGCACUAGGUGUGGGGGACAUUCCACGUUUUCCGCGCCGUAGCUAACGCA